AGAGUUUGAUCAUGGCUCAGGAUAAACGCUGGCGGCGUGCAUGAGACAUGCAAGUCGAACGGACGACWCGRGGCUUGCUUCGWGUCGUUAGUGGCGGACGGCUGAGUAACGCGURGGUGACCUGCCCCGAAGUGGGGAAUAACUGCCCGAAAGGGUGGCUAAUACCGCAUGUGGYGRUGCGUUCAWUCGCAYCAKYAAAGCCGCAAGGCGCUUCGGAGGGGCCUGCGUCCGAUUAGCUCGUUGGUGGGGUAACGGCUCACCAAGGCGACGAUCGGUAGGUGGUCUGAGAGGACGAUCACCCAGACUGGGACUGAGACACGGCCCAGACUCCUACGGGAGGCAGCAGUCGGGAAUUUUGCKCAAUGGRCGAAAGYCUGAMGCAGCAACGCCGCGUGAGGGAUGAMGGCCUUCGGGUUGUAAACCUCUUUURYCAGGGACGAURAUGACGGUACCUGAYGAAUAAGYCACGGCUAACUACGUGCCAGCAGCCGCGGUAAUA
Molecule: ribosomal RNA, 499 nt
Filed under: bacterium enrichment culture clone Cont147_3131
Lineage: Bacteria
Description: partial 16S ribosomal RNA
Rfam family: Bacterial small subunit ribosomal RNA
Source: RNAcentral